Molecule: long non-coding RNA, 955 nt
Filed under: Coturnix japonica (Japanese quail)
Lineage: Eukaryota; Metazoa; Chordata; Aves; Galliformes; Phasianidae
Description: lncRNA (ENSCJPG00005002325.1)
Source: RNAcentral
UGCAUUAUUUGCUCUGUUCUUGGAGCUGUUUGCUCUGCUCCUUUUGCUCUGCACCCCCAUGUGUUGCAAUGACUUUGCAUUGUUUGCUCUGCUCCUUUUGCUCUGCAUUCCCAUUUGUUGGGAUGUGUUUUAACUGCAUUAUUUGCUCUGUUCUUGGAGUUGUUUGCUCUGUUCCCUUUGCUCUGCAUUCCCAUUUGCUUUUGGGAUGAGUUUCAGCUGCAUUGUUUGCUCUGUUCUUGGAGCUGCAAGGGCUGUUUGUUUUGCUCUGCACCCCCAUUUGUUGUUGCAAUGACUUUGCAUUGUUUGCUCUGCUCCCUUUGCUCUGCACCCCCACGCAUUGGGAUGUUCUGACUGCGUUGUUUGCUCUGUUGCUCCAUCGCGUCGCGUCGGCCUCGCGAGGCUCAGAAAGGAAAGAAAUUAAACCAAAAUAACAACAAAGCAGCAAAAAAAACUCGCCUACAAUGUGAGGAAAUAGGAACCGCCGCCUUCCUGCCCCUGCUGCUGCUCCAUCACGUGUGUGUGUGUGUGUGUGUGUGUGUGUGUGUGUGUGCAGGGCAGGAAGCCGCAGUGGGACGCAGCUGUGCAGCAGGAGCAGCAGGAGCAGCAGGAGCAGGAGGUGCAGCCCGUCCUGCUGUGCUGCACAUGCAUCCCCCACCAGCAGCAGCAGCAGCAGCAGCUCCCAGCUGGGAGGAGGCCGGGCUGCAUUGCACAGAGCUGCAGGCUGCAAGAUGAACCUAACAUGCAUCGCAUGGGGCUGCAGCUGGUGCUGCAAGAUGAACCCAACAUGCAUCGCAUGGAGCUGCAGCUGGUGCUGCAAGAUGAACCCAACAUGCAUCGCACGGGGCUGCAGCUGGUGCUGCAAGAUGAACCCAACAUGCAUCGCACGGGGCUGCAGGCUGCAAGAUGAACCCAACAUGCAAUCGCACGGGGCUGCAGCUGGUGCUGCAAGAUGAAC